This 371-nucleotide long non-coding RNA is filed under the name Olea europaea (common olive). RNAcentral's name for it is "long non-coding RNA (OEUR_LNC011458)". The record is from RNAcentral. Lineage: Eukaryota; Viridiplantae; Streptophyta; Magnoliopsida; Lamiales; Oleaceae.
CUUUUCAGCGGUAACGCCAUCGAACACAAACACCCGGCCUCGGAACGAGAGAGCAACCUGGUCAUUACCGUCGGCGGCGCAUGGAACAGCCACGUUGGAGCCUUCACCGCCACCGCCAUAUAUUCCGUCGGCUGGAUUGGAGACUUCGAAGGUGGCCAAGCCGCCUACACCGCCGUCUUCAAGAGACUGAACAUCGUAAUCAGUGUCCAAGUUCUCGACCAAUCCGUCAUCUCCGGCGGCGGCUGGGCUCUGUAUCGACGGGUUUAAUGACUGAUUUUGAGCGGACAUUGCUGGCUUCAAGAUUGAAAGAGUACCAAUGGCGCUUGAGAGAAAGUCGCUCGGAGCAUGUUAAACGCAUGGGUUCAGUGACU